ACCAUUCAAGCUCACUGCAGCACAUGCUACUUCCUGUUUUAAAGGGCCUUGUAGCAGCCCUUGUUACAUGCGUGGGCACGGAGCAUGAAGCAGAAAGCACAGCUUAAAAGAGAAGUUGAUAUACCCGGCGGCGUGACACUGACUGGUGUUUUACGUUUUCUCAAGCCAGCUAACACAAAAGCCACCUCUGUGUUCACCGUCACACCUGAAAGAGGAAUCCCCCGCCCCACCAGUAAGUCCCGCGUAAAACAUGAAGUUUAAUGGAAUCUGGCCAAAUGAAAUGUACUUGAUUGGUAUGUAUUCACUUUAUUCUGAGCAAAUCUUCCUAAUAAUUUGAAUAAAUAAACAGAUUUUAUUUAUUUCAGUUGCAUUAAAGUAUUGUUUUGUGUUAUGAUGGCAAAGAAUAAUCUUUCAGGUAUACCCCACGAUCAUGCAUCAGUUAUCUUUCGCACACAGUGUUCUGACCGUAUUCUGUGAUCGUGGCAGUGACGUGUAAAUAUUGGAGGUUAGCGUCCCGCUUUGUAAAAAAGCACGUGGACCUGCUGGUAAUUUGAACCAAUGCAAAGUCAAAUAAAAGUCACAGAGAAAACCUGAUUUAUUUCAGAUUUCCACAACAUUCGCUGCUCAGCUACGAGAGAGGAUAAUACAGGAUGUGAUUAAGCCGAGCAUAACCAUUAUAAUAUAAUGUAUAUAUAAAACAUCUAAAAUUGUUUCUGGAACUAGGGUUGGGGUUUGUAUUGGUUAAGAGAGUUGCUAAUACGUCGUGUCUGCAGGGUCCUCGAAAUUCCGACAAAAACAGAAGGAAAGAAAAAAAAAGAAACACGGGCGCGUGUGUGCGCGCGCGUGGGUAUUGUAGGUGGAGGCUGUUCUUACAAACCCCCUCAGCUCACAGAGCUCUGAGACAGUCUCCGCUGUGCACGGCUCCGAGUGAGUCUGUUCUCAGCUGAAGUGCAGACCGGUGAAAAACAGUGAGCGGAUAGUUGUAAGUAUUUUUUUCCCUUCGUCAUGUCUUUACUCUCUGUUUAAAGUGUGCAGGACAGCCUUUUUAAUCCACGCUGCCGCUAACACGAGCCUGUGAAAAUGAAGCGUCGUUAAGUUUGUCUUACUUAAUAACAUAAACUUGAUGCCUUGUCCAAACAAAAGCAGCCAUUGCCGUCAGCUGGCUGCAUUUUUAUUUGCAUAAUUCACCUGUG
Molecule: long non-coding RNA, 1193 nt
Organism: Oreochromis niloticus (Nile tilapia)
Lineage: Eukaryota; Metazoa; Chordata; Actinopteri; Cichliformes; Cichlidae
Exons: 3
Source: RefSeq, a predicted model, not a curated record